ACGUAGGUGGCAAGCGUUGUCCGGAAUUAUUGGGCGUAAAGCGCGCGCAGGCGGUCCCUUAAGUCUGAUGUGAAAGCCCACGGCUCAACCGUGGAGGGUCAUUGGAAACUGGGGGACUUGAGUGCAGAAGAGGAAAGUGGAAUUCCAUGUGUAGCGGUGAAAUGCGUAGAGAUGUGGAGGAACACCAGUGGCGAAGGCGACUUUCUGGUCUGUAACUGACGCUGAGGCGCGAAAGCGUGGGGAGCAAACAGGAUUAGAUACCCUGGUAGUCCACGCCGUAAACGAUGAGUGCUAAGUGUUAGGGGGUUUCCGCCCCUUAGUGCUGCAGCUAACGCAUUAAGCACUCCGCCUGGGGAGUACGGCCGCAAGGCUG
This 373-nucleotide ribosomal RNA is filed under the name uncultured bacterium. RNAcentral describes it as "bacterial SSU rRNA". It matches the Rfam family "Bacterial small subunit ribosomal RNA", at positions 525 to 896 of the family's 1533-position model. The record is from RNAcentral.